UGAAGUCUUUUGGCGUAUCUCUGACAGCCGACCCAAGUGCUUCACGUGCUUCCCAACAUUAUAUCUCUUCUCCACUCAUUGUUUAGUGCUUGACCAGACAUCCCAAAAGAAAGUCACACAGAGAGAGACAGAGAGACACAGACAGAAAAGAUGGAACCACCGGCUCCACAAGCCAUAGAGACUUCUAGCAAGAACUUCGAGUUCCAGGCUGAAGGAGAUGAACAAGACAAGGCCGUCAAUGACUGUUGUUCUUGCUGUUAUGACUGCACAGAGACCUGCUUCGAUUACUUGUUCUGUAACCUCUGUUAGCUAGAGAGUAUUACAAUUUGCUCACUUCUAUUGUCCUGGCCAACAAAAAAAAAAAAAAAAAGGAAAAAAACAAUGGCUUUUGUUAGUAUAAUUACUUAAAUAAUGGCUUUUGAUGUGGGAAUUUGCUGUGGAAAAGUCGUUGUUCCUUAAAUUCCUAAUGUCUAAGUUUCUGUACCUACUUAUUGCAUUGUUUUAUGUGCAAUUUCAGUGUAUGAAUUAGGGUUACCCUUU
Molecule: long non-coding RNA, 540 nt
Organism: Corylus avellana
Lineage: Eukaryota; Viridiplantae; Streptophyta; Magnoliopsida; Fagales; Betulaceae
Source: RefSeq, a predicted model, not a curated record